GGGACGUUGGAGGGGUGGCCGCAUGGAGUGAGUACUGUCUCUGGCCACCGAGCAGAGCCAGUGACAGCAGCGUCCUGGUAGGCAGGCAGGCGUAUCAGGUUUCAGAGGAUGCGGCUGGGAACGGGAGUAGAGGUGAGGGGUCGUUGCAUCUGUCGCGGUGUGUAUCUUUUGGGGGUUCAGCGCCACCAGCGACUUGGGCCUCAUUCAUCGCGCUUACAUUUCUCCACCUCAUUUGAAGAACGAGCUUCGUAGCCCACGGAGCUGAGGUAUAUGAGCUCCCUGAAAGCACAAAGCAGUUAUUUCCAUCUUCAGAUCAUUCAGAGAUUAUGAAGGCACAAACCCUGCCUUCAAUUUGCUUAUAGUCAAGUGGAGCAGACACAAGUCAAUGAUUGCAGUAUAGCCACUGAAGUAAUCUAAAAGAGACUUAUCAGCAGGUUGCAGGUGAACAUGGCCUUGAGGUAAAUCUGUCCCUUGCUGAAUACAGUUUCAGUAGAUUGUUUAUAGUAGUUUCAGGAAUUGAGAUUUUUUACAAAAAUACAAAAGUUUUGCUUGGUUCUGUUCUAGAUGUUUUCUUCUAAAUAAAUGAGAAAGAUGUUUCAACAAAGGCUCUUUAUGCUGAAUAAUUGUGAUGCUUGAAGUUGCUAAUCUGCUUUAAGUGGAUUUUAAAUGUCAGGCAAUUCUAGACAGUUUUUUCUUGGUCAAAUAAAAAUUUAAUUAAAACUUUA
This 725-nucleotide long non-coding RNA is filed under the name Homo sapiens (human). RNAcentral describes it as "non-protein coding SNHG21:13". Lineage: Eukaryota; Metazoa; Chordata; Mammalia; Primates; Hominidae. The record is from RNAcentral.